UACGUAGGGGGCGAGCGUUGUCCGGAAUGAUUGGGCGUAAAGCGCGCGCAGGCGGUCUAAUCAGUCUGGUUUGAAAGACCUCGGCUCAACCGGGGGAUGGAGUCAGAAACUGUUAGACUUGAGUGCAGGAGAGGGGAGUGGAAUUCCCGGUGUAGCGGUGAAAUGCGUAGAGAUCGGGAGGAACACCAGUGGCGAAGGCGACUCUCUGGCCUGUAACUGACGCUGAGGCGCGAAAGCGUGGGGAGCGAACAGG
RNAcentral lists this ribosomal RNA (253 nucleotides) under uncultured bacterium. Its description in RNAcentral is "partial 16S ribosomal RNA". It matches the Rfam family "Bacterial small subunit ribosomal RNA", at positions 524 to 776 of the family's 1533-position model. The record is from RNAcentral.